GGGAGCUCAGGAUCCUGGCUGUGUCCCUGGGAGCCCUGGGGUCCGGGGCCUGCUCUCCUGGAAUCGCGCUCCCGGCCCGCGGCUCCU
This 87-nucleotide microRNA precursor is filed under the name Canis lupus familiaris (dog). Its description in RNAcentral is "mir-8799 microRNA precursor family". It matches the Rfam family "mir-8799 microRNA precursor family". RNAcentral also lists the same sequence under 1 other name. Lineage: Eukaryota; Metazoa; Chordata; Mammalia; Carnivora; Canidae. The record is from Rfam by way of RNAcentral.